RNAcentral lists this ribosomal RNA (253 nucleotides) under uncultured bacterium. RNAcentral's name for it is "partial 16S ribosomal RNA". It matches the Rfam family "Bacterial small subunit ribosomal RNA", at positions 524 to 776 of the family's 1533-position model. The record is from RNAcentral.
UACGUAGGGGGCAAGCGUCGUCCGGAUUUAUUGGGCGUAAAGAGCGUGUAGGCGGCCGCACAGGUCCGUUGUGAAAACUGGAGGCUUAACCUCCAGACGUCGAUGGAAACCGUGCGGCUAGAGUCCGGAAGAGGAGAAUGGAAUUCCUGGUGUAGCGGUGAAAUGCGCAGAUAUCAGGAAGAACACCCGUGGCUAAGGCGGUUCUCUAGUACGGUACUGACGCUGAGACGCGAAAGCGUGGGGAGCGAACAGG